GACGAACGCUGGCGGCGUGCUUAACACAUGCAAGUCGAACGGAAAGGCCCUGCUUUUGUUGGGUGCUCGAGUGGCGAACGGGUGAGUAACACGGGAGUGACCUGCCCUUGACGUUGGGAUAACGUCAGGAAACUGGGGCUAAUACCUGAUAGGAACUCCUGCUGCAUGGUGGGGGUUGGAAAGUUUCGGUGGUUGGGGAUGGACUCGCGGCUUAUCAGCUUGUUGGUGGGGUAGUGGCUUACCAAGGCUUUGACGGGUAGCCGGCCUGAGAGGGUGACCGGCGACAUUGGGACUGAGAUACGGCCCAGAGGGCUAUGGGAGGCAGCGGUGGGGAAUAUGGCACAAUGGGCGGAAGCGUGAUGCAGAAACGCCGCGUGCGGGAUGACGGCCUGCGGGGUGUAAAACGCUUUCGCCUGUGACGAAGCGUGAGUGACGGUAAUGGGUAAAGAAGCACCGGCUAACUACGUG
RNAcentral lists this ribosomal RNA (468 nucleotides) under uncultured bacterium. RNAcentral's name for it is "partial 16S ribosomal RNA". It matches the Rfam family "Bacterial small subunit ribosomal RNA", at positions 28 to 507 of the family's 1533-position model. The record is from RNAcentral.